This 409-nucleotide ribosomal RNA is filed under the name bacterium. RNAcentral's name for it is "partial 16S ribosomal RNA". It matches the Rfam family "Bacterial small subunit ribosomal RNA", at positions 355 to 776 of the family's 1533-position model. The record is from RNAcentral.
UGGGGAAUAUUGCACAAUGGGCGAAAGCCUGAUGCAGCGACGCCGCGUGAGGGAUGACGGCCUUCGGGUUGUAAACCUCUUUCAGUAGGGACGAAGCGCAAGUGACGGUACCUGCAGAAGAAGCACCGGCUAACUACGUGCCAGCAGCCGCGGUAAUACGUAGGGUGCGAGCGUUGUCCGGAAUUACUGGGCGUAAAGAGCUCGUAGGCGGUUUGUCACUUCGUCUGUGAAAUCCUAGGGCUUAACCCUGGACGUGCAGGCGAUACGGGCUGACUUGAGUACUACAGGGGAGACUGGAAUUUCUGGUGUAGCGGUGGAAUGCACAGAUAUCAGGAAGAACACCGAUGGCGAAGGCAGGUCUCUGGGUAGUAACUGACGCUGAGGAGCGAAAGCAUGGGUAGCGAACAGG